RNAcentral lists this ribosomal RNA (477 nucleotides) under uncultured Alphaproteobacteria bacterium. Its description in RNAcentral is "bacterial SSU rRNA". It matches the Rfam family "Bacterial small subunit ribosomal RNA", at positions 9 to 521 of the family's 1533-position model. Lineage: Bacteria; Pseudomonadati; Pseudomonadota; Alphaproteobacteria. The record is from RNAcentral.
GAGUUUGAUCUUGGCUCAGAACGAACGCUGGCGGCAUGCCUAACACAUGCAAGUCGAACGGGAUCCAGUCUUCGGACUGGUGAGAGUGGCGGACGGGUGAGUAACGCGUGGGAACCUGCCCAGUGGUGGGGGAUAACUGCGGGAAACUGCAGCUAAUACCGCAUGAGCCCGAGAGGGGAAAGAUUUAUCGCCAUUGGAGGGGCCCGCGUUCGAUUAGGUAGUUGGUGGGGUAAAGGCCUACCAAGCCGACGAUCGAUAGCUGGUCUGAGAGGAUGAUCAGCCACACUGGGACUGAGAUACGGCCCAAAACUCCUACGGGAGGCAGCAGUGGGGAAUAUUGGACAAUGGGCGAAAGCCUGAUCCAGCCAUGCCGCGUGAGUGAUGAAGGCCCUAGGGUUGUAAAGCUCUUUCAACGGUGAAGAUAAUGACGGUAACCGUAGAAGAAGCCCCGGCUAACUUCGUGCCAGCAGCCGCCGU